GGGGGUGUAGCUCAAUGGUAGAGCACCUGCCUGGCAUGCACAAAAUGCUCAAGGCCCCUGAGUUCAAUCCUCAGCACUACAA
RNAcentral lists this transfer RNA (82 nucleotides) under Ictidomys tridecemlineatus (thirteen-lined ground squirrel). RNAcentral describes it as "Spermophilus tridecemlineatus (thirteen-lined ground squirrel) tRNA". It matches the Rfam family "tRNA". Rfam says of the family: Transfer RNA (tRNA) molecules are approximately 80 nucleotides in length. Their secondary structure includes four short double-helical elements and three loops (D, anti-codon, and T loops). Further hydrogen bonds mediate the characteristic L-shaped molecular structure. tRNAs have two regions of fundamental functional importance: the anti-codon, which is responsible for specific mRNA codon recognition, and the 3' end, to which the tRNAs corresponding amino acid is attached (by aminoacyl-tRNA synthetases). tRNAs cope with the degeneracy of the genetic code in two manners: having more than one tRNA (with a specific anti-codon) for a particular amino acid; and 'wobble' base-pairing, i.e. permitting non-standard base-pairing at the 3rd anti-codon position. Lineage: Eukaryota; Metazoa; Chordata; Mammalia; Rodentia; Sciuridae. The record is from Rfam by way of RNAcentral.